UGUAGUUCAGUUGGUAGAAUGCUUGCCUAGCAUGCAUGAAGCCCUGGGUUCAAAUUCCAGUA
This 62-nucleotide transfer RNA is filed under the name Neotoma lepida (desert woodrat). It matches the Rfam family "tRNA", at positions 6 to 65 of the family's 71-position model. Rfam says of the family: Transfer RNA (tRNA) molecules are approximately 80 nucleotides in length. Their secondary structure includes four short double-helical elements and three loops (D, anti-codon, and T loops). Further hydrogen bonds mediate the characteristic L-shaped molecular structure. tRNAs have two regions of fundamental functional importance: the anti-codon, which is responsible for specific mRNA codon recognition, and the 3' end, to which the tRNAs corresponding amino acid is attached (by aminoacyl-tRNA synthetases). tRNAs cope with the degeneracy of the genetic code in two manners: having more than one tRNA (with a specific anti-codon) for a particular amino acid; and 'wobble' base-pairing, i.e. permitting non-standard base-pairing at the 3rd anti-codon position. Lineage: Eukaryota; Metazoa; Chordata; Mammalia; Rodentia; Cricetidae. The record is from Rfam by way of RNAcentral.